GAUGAACGCUGGCGGCGUGCCUAAUACAUGCAAGUCGAGCGAACGGACGAGAAGCUUGCUUUUCUGAUGUUAGCGGCGGACGGGUGAGUAACACGUGGAUAACCUACCUAUAAGACUGGGAUAACUUCGGGAAACCGGAGCUAAUACCGGAUAAUAUUUUGAACCGCAUGGUUCAAAAGUGAAAGACGGUCUUGCUGUCACUUAUAGAUGGAUCCGCGCUGCAUUAGCUAGUUGGUAAGGUAACUGCUUACCAAGGCAACGAUGCAUAGCCGACCUGAGAGGGUGAUCGGCCACACUGGAACUGAGACACGGUCCAGACUCCUACGGGAGGCAGCAGUAGGGAAUCUUCCGCAAUGGGCGAAAGCCUGACGGAGCAACGCCGCGUGAGUGAUGAAGGUCUUCGGAUCGUAAAACUCUGUUAUUAGGGAAGAACAUAUGUGUAAGUAACUGUGCACAUCUUGACGGUACUUAAUCAGAAAGCCACGGCUAACUACGUG
Molecule: ribosomal RNA, 497 nt
Filed under: uncultured bacterium
Lineage: Bacteria
Description: partial 16S ribosomal RNA
Rfam family: Bacterial small subunit ribosomal RNA
Source: RNAcentral